Molecule: ribosomal RNA, 497 nt
Filed under: uncultured bacterium
Lineage: Bacteria
Description: partial 16S ribosomal RNA
Rfam family: Bacterial small subunit ribosomal RNA
Source: RNAcentral
GAUGAACGCUGGCGGCGUGCCUAAUACAUGCAAGUCGAGCGAACAGACGAGGAGCUUGCUCCUCUGACGUUAGCGGCGGACGGGUGAGUAACACGUGGAUAACCUACCUAUAAGACUGGGAUAAUUUCGGGAAACCGGAGCUAAUACCGGAUAAUAUAUUGAACCGCAUGGUUCAAUAGUGAAAGACGGUUUUGCUGUCACUUAUAGAUGGAUCCGCGCCGCAUUAGCUAGUUGGUAAGGUAACGGCUUACCAAGGCAGCGAUGCGUAGCCGACCUGAGAGGGUGAUCGGCCACACUGGAACUGAGACACGGUCCAGACUCCUACGGGAGGCAGCAGUAGGGAAUCUUCCGCAAUGGGCGAAAGCCUGACGGAGCAACGCCGCGUGAGUGAUGAAGGUCUUCGGAUCGUAAAACUCUGUUAUUAGGGAAGAACAAAUGUGUAAGUAACUAUGCACGUCUUGACGGUACCUAAUCAGAAAGCCACGGCUAACUACGUG